GUUUCCCUUAAUCACUCAAGUGUUUAAGGUGACACUCAAACUCUCUAUUGUUCACAAGUCACAUGAAACAAAAUUGCCAUUCAUCUCAAACAAUCAACAUCUUUACAUGCAAAUGCCAUCAAAAGGACUUUUCCAAGGCUUGUAAUGAGGUUGGGCUAACAAGGAAGAAUUGGUUUUUCUAGAAUGCAAAAUCCUUGAGUCAAGAGAGCUAUCAAAAUAUUCAACAUUUAAGCACAACUCUCUCACCAAUUUCUCAUGAAUUUUUCUUUUCACAAUAUUUGAGCUCAAUGCUUUUCACUUGCUUUUUCAAUUUUCCCCCGUACAACCCCAAACUUGAACCUUUUCAUCUCAUACAAUUAAGCUCAUCCCAACUCAAGGUAAAGAAUUUCAAAACAAGGGUUCACAUCUUGUUUAAGGCUAAGGUUCA
RNAcentral lists this long non-coding RNA (427 nucleotides) under Vigna radiata. Its description in RNAcentral is "long non-coding RNA (VRAD_LNC017615)". Lineage: Eukaryota; Viridiplantae; Streptophyta; Magnoliopsida; Fabales; Fabaceae. The record is from RNAcentral.